UUUGUCACCUUAAUAAGGAAGAAGAAGAAGAAGAAGAAGAAGAAGGAGAAGAAGAAGCCUUAUGGUACCAACCUAAAUUGGUAGAAUUAAGGAAGUUUUUAGUUCCCCUGCUAAUUCAGAGAUAUAUAGAAAGCCGGCAUUUUUCAACCACCUUUGGCAAUUUGCUUCCAGUAGUUCAACAACUCCCCUGUGGACACCUUUACAGCUCAUCGCUGGAUGAUGUACAGAGGGCGACGACGAAAUGGUGAGCGAAGAUGAUUACGAAAUUUGAAUACUGCCACAGGAGUUACAGAGUGUGGACAUCAACCUGCAGUCAUUCUGGUCAAACUGAUGUUCUGCAGAGGAGGAGUGCAACACUUCCUGUUGCGAUGUACCCUGUAUCCUGUUUUCCACAGUCAGUGGUCAUGCGUGUCAUUCCCCUCUGCGAGGCUGUGUGGGCACAAUCUUGUGACCCUGCACUGUGAAUCUUCUGAGACUGAAUCGAGGGAGACUUCACAUGUCUGAGAAAAACUCUGAAUGUCAGCAAAAAAAUAUGUAUAAUAGCACAAUAAAGGUCUGUUGAGAAAUGACCAUGACUUUAGUCUAGCUUGCUAAAAGUUGAUGAGGAAGACUACAGUAAAUAACAGACAUGUUUCAUUGUAUAAUCCCUGUGUUUUGAAGUGUUAAGUAAGCUGUAGCAGAACCAGUAACCGUACUAUUUGACAACCUGCAUACUGUGCUUCUUUCAGAAUAUUAGUAGCCUCUUAAAAUAAGUGCAUACAGAGAUAAUGAUGAGAACAUUGACACCUCCAUACAGCAGACCCAAAGACUCCAGGGGCCAAACUAUGUGACUGAGUAUUAAGAGGUGCCAAUAUAACUGUUUGAGUGCUUGUGUGAGCUUUAACCAUCAGAGAUGUGUAUCUUGUGACUUCAUUCAGACAUAAAACUGUGAAGUGCUUGGUUACACCCUGUGGUAGAACCAGCAGUACUUGGUCAGAGCUACUGCAGGUCACAAGUAUGCAACCUCACAGUGUGUCACUUACACUUGAAAACAAAUAGAACAAUGCUGGCAACUUUAUCUUAUACACUAUAUCUCAUUGGACAUGUUUUUAUAGAGUGAGAGUAGCCUAUUCAGUCACUGCUGGUGGACAUGAUGACAAGGCAAUCCAGUGCAUUAGCCCUUUAAGAGCCAGUUUGCUGACUUGAUGAUUCUUCUCUACUUGAGCUAUUGUUACACUACAUUAUGCUAUAACUGACACUUGUUGCCACAGUUGCUGCUGUUCAGCAAAAGUUACAUAGGAUCGCUUUAAGUGAUUGCAUGUAAGUAUAAUUAGCAAAAUGUAAUUAAAUUACCAUAUGUAAAAGUACUCAAUGCAGAAAAAUGGCCAUUACUGAUUACUGAUGCUUUAAUGUGUAAGUAGAAUUGUACUAUUGUAGUAGGUCAAGUAUUUUAUAUAUUGUUGGGUAGUUUAAUCUAUAGCAAUGCAACCUAAUUUUACAGUUUAUGUAAAAUCCUAAUUUUUAAAGAAACCUGUAACCAUAGCUGAAGACUAAAUGUAGUGUAAAAAGUACAAUAUUAGUAGUAUACAAAGGUAUCGAUUGGAAAUACCCUAGUAAAGUACCUCAAACUUGCAGUGCUUAAAUAAAUGUACAAAGUUACAUCCCACCACUGCUUACAUUAUAUUGUUAGGCUUUUCUGUUAUUUUGUCAGCUGUGAACCAGUGUGGGUGCAUAAAUAACAGAGUUCAUAUGAAUCAACACAUCUCUGACACAGACUUAGCUAAAGAUGGGCAUUAUGUGAGUGUCACAUGUUCUGCAGGGUUAUUGUGUUGUAUUUCACUAUAUUUUACAAGUAUUCAUUUUAUUGUGUCCAUCACUGCAUUAUGAAUACAUAUGGGUAAUAUCUGGAUCCCUGGUUCCAUGGUUAACGUAGUCUGAAAAUCUGCCAGUGGUACUUAUAUUACACUCACAGGCCAGUUUAUUAGGUACACCUAUAAAAUGUAAUGCAAUCCAACAGCUCUGCCACAAAUUCUACAUUUAUGAAGAUUAUAAUGUUCAGUUUGGGUUAAAUCAUUCGAGAGGUGUUAAUUCAGCUGUAUAUAUACACUAUAUAUAUUUAUCACUGAGGUCAUAGUGGUGGUGUUAUACUGUAUUAUAUUGAGUGUUUCUGAUAUUCUUCCCUCUUCAUGUUUGUAAAUGCGAUGGGCAAAACAUUAGAAACACCUCUCAAUAUAAAGCAGUCCAGUUCAAUACCACUGCAAACAACAACCUCAAUAUUAAACAUGUAGUUGAAUUAAUACCUCUCUGACAGUGUCAAUCAAAACUGAACAUUAUUAUCUUUGUAAAGGUAGAAUUUAUGGUUGAGCUGUUGUAUUGGAUAGCAUUAGAUUUUACAGGUAUACCUAAAAAUGUGGCCACUGAGUGUAUAUUGGCAAUGCUAAUCGAAGUCACUGGAAGCGGUAACAGUAAUACAGUUACUGUAAAAUCAAAUGCACAUGACAAAUGGAAAUUUUUUUGAAAAACAAUGCACGGCAUGUGAUCUGUCAGGGUAAUGGUAUUUACGGUCUUUUUACGAUGUUGCAAUCUGCCUGCAGAACAUGAAAAAGAAGAGUUAAAGGCUUAAACAAACAUACUCUGGGCUUAAAAUGAAUCAAUUACAUUUUAUAAUAAGAAAUAUAAAACAAGAUAGUUAAUGAGUACUUAUAGUUCAUUUGUAUUCUAGCAGCACUGUACUGAGUUUUGUGGAAAUUCUUUUGGUGAAAUAAAGCAAAAAGUGUUA
Molecule: long non-coding RNA, 2758 nt
Organism: Siniperca chuatsi (mandarin fish)
Lineage: Eukaryota; Metazoa; Chordata; Actinopteri; Centrarchiformes; Sinipercidae
Exons: 2
Source: RefSeq, a predicted model, not a curated record